This 201-nucleotide ribosomal RNA is filed under the name uncultured bacterium. RNAcentral describes it as "partial 16S ribosomal RNA". It matches the Rfam family "Bacterial small subunit ribosomal RNA", at positions 1300 to 1500 of the family's 1533-position model. The record is from RNAcentral.
GUAGUCUGCAACCCGACUACAUGAAGCUGGAAUCGCUAGUAAUCGCGAAUCAGAAUGUCGCGGUGAAUACGUUCCCGGGUCUUGUACACACCGCCCGUCACACCAUGGGAGAUGGAUAUGCCCGAAGUCAGUGACCUAACCGAAAGGGAGGAGCUGCCGAAAGUGGAGCCAUUAACUGGGGUGAAGUCGUAACAAGGUAGC